This is a long non-coding RNA of Astatotilapia calliptera (eastern happy), 1978 nucleotides long. The record is from Ensembl. Lineage: Eukaryota; Metazoa; Chordata; Actinopteri; Cichliformes; Cichlidae.
GUUAAGUGGUUGCAUGUGUAUUACUGCCUUAGCUUGGUCAUCCAUUCAAAUGUAAUCAAUAAAUGAAGAGCAUGGAGCAGUUUCUUAUCAUUGUUCUAUUAGCAGGAGGAACACUCGCUCUCGUUGCAGUUGAUGAGACUACUUGUGACCUCAGGAUGAACACAGGUCCAUGCUCUCCUAUUCUUGAAGGAACUGUGUAUAUCCAAGUGAUGACUAAUGCUAGUGGCCGUGAAAUGAAGUGUUUGAAAGUGCUUCCCAGUGUGAACAUAACUAUGUUCAAUCUGAAGAAAGAAAAAAUAAUGAUAGACAAGGAAUUUAACAACAGACUACAGUUUAUAAUCAAGAACGGGACACUCAAGAUCACAAACAUGAGGAGGAAUGAUUCAGGUCAAUACAGCAUUGAGGUCUUUAAUUCAGAUGGCGUUCAAGAGAAAAAUAUUCAUUUCACCCUGGAUGUUAAAGACAAUGGAAAAGUUGAAGCUCACGUUUCAGUUGAUGAGACUACUUGUGACCUCAGGACGAACACAUGCCCAUGCUCUCCUAUUCUUGAAGGAACUGUGUAUAUCCAAGUGAUGACUGAUGCUAGUGGCCGUGAAAUGAAGUGUUUGAAGGUGCUUCCCAAGGGAAACAUAACUGUGUUCAAUAUAAAGAAAGAAAAAAUAACAACAGACAAGGAAUUUAACAACAGACUACAGUUUAUAAUCAAGAACGGGACACUCAAGAUCACAAACCUGAAGAGGAAUGAUUCAGGUCGAUACAGCAUUGAGGUCUUUAAUUCAAAUGGAGUUCAAGAGAAAAAUAUUCAUUUCACCCUGGAUGUUGAGGACAAUGGCAACGUUGAAGGCGAUGAGACUACAUGUGACCUCAGGACGAACACAUGUCCAUGCUCUCCUAUUCUUGAAGGAACUGUGUAUAUCCAAGUGAUGACUGAUGCUAGUGGCCGUGAAAUGAAGUGUUUGAAGGUGCUUCCGAGGGGGAACAUAACUGUGUUCAAUCUGAAGAAAGAAAAAAUAACGACAGACAAGGAAUUUAGCAACAGACUCACGUUUAUAAUCAAGAACGGGACACUCAAGAUCACAAACGUGAAGAGGAAUGAUUCAGGUCGAUACAGCAUUGAGGUCUUUAAUUCAAAUGGAGUCCAAGAGAAAAACAUUCAUUUCACGCUGGAUGUUAAAGACAAUGGAAAAGUUGAAGCUCCUGUGUCCUCUGUCCUGCUGGUUUCUGAGUGUCUGUCCCAGGGAGAGAGGAGGGUGUCCUGCUCCUCUGAGGGAGGGGACAGUCCUCAGUACAGCUGGACUCUGGAUGGACGCACACUGACAGAUGCUGAGCUCCUUUAUGGAAAUAAUAAGACAAACAUCAUCACUCUGAAACAGCACGUCUCAGGACAUCUGGUCUGCUCAGUCAGGAACAAUGUCAGUAAUGCCUUCAAAGAAGAGAGGAUAUCUACCUGUGGCUUUGUUUUCAUCAGCUGCUCAUUAUUUAAUGGGACACAGAUGUCAGGGUGGGUGCAUAAGUCCAGUAAUACCCUUUGUCCCGAACCAACAGGAGACCCUUCCACGGCCACACAAACUGCAGUGGGUGCUUCCUGGUUCGUGUUUGGUUUGAAAGCCGCUGUGGUAAUUAUAUCAUUAAGUGGAAUUUCGCUCUAUUUCGCUUGGAAGAAAAAAACAAUAUUGGAGGGCCCUGCUGUCCCACAAAGGAUGGAAUAUCCAGAUAACUCUGUUUUGAUGAUUGCAUUGAGUUCUCACUCCAACACAUAGUGUCACUUUUCACCUGUUGUACAUUUCUCAUGUGUCCUCAUAGGCUUGUAAAUAAGCAUUAGUGGGGGUUUUUUCAUUCCACAUUUUAUUGACAGCUUAGUAUAUUUUUAGUAUAUGUCAAUAUGUUUUUUGUGUUUUUAUUAUUCAAGAACAGCAAUCCAGCAAAAUAUAAUCGAAGUGGAAAAUCAGAGAAAGAUCUUUGUCUCCUUCUUUCAUGU